GAUGAACGCUGGCGGCGUGCUUAACACAUGCAAGUCGAACGGAAAGGCUCCUGCUUGCAGGGGUACUCGAGUGGCGAACGGGUGAGUAACACGUGGGUGAUCUGCCCAGCACUUCGGGAUAAGCCUGGGAAACUGGGUCUAAUACCGGAUAGGACGAUGGUUUGGAUGCCAUUGUGGAAAGUUUUUUCGGUGUGGGAUGAGCUCGCGGCCUAUCAGCUUGUUGGUGGGGUAAUGGCCUACCAAGGCGUCGACGGGUAGCCGGCCUGAGAGGGUGUACGGCCACAUUGGGCCUGAGAUACGGCCCAGACUCCUACGGGAGGCAGCAGUGGGGAAUAUUGCACAGUGGGCGCACGCCUGAUGCAGCGACGCCGCGUGGGGGAUGCCGGCUUUCGGGUUGUAAACUACUUUCGCUGGGGCCGAAGCGCAAGUGACGGUACCUGGAGAAGAAGCCCCGGCUAACUACGUG
Molecule: ribosomal RNA, 466 nt
Filed under: uncultured bacterium
Lineage: Bacteria
Description: partial 16S ribosomal RNA
Rfam family: Bacterial small subunit ribosomal RNA
Source: RNAcentral